RNAcentral lists this ribosomal RNA (500 nucleotides) under uncultured bacterium. Its description in RNAcentral is "partial 16S ribosomal RNA". It matches the Rfam family "Bacterial small subunit ribosomal RNA", at positions 28 to 507 of the family's 1533-position model. The record is from RNAcentral.
GACGAACGCUGGCGGCGUGCUUAACACAUGCAAGUCGAACGGGUCUGCCCUGUUUUUUUCGGGUUGGGUCAGUGGCGAACGGGUGAGUAACACGUGAGUAACCUGCCCCUCACUUCUGGAUAACCGCUUUAAAGGGUGUCUAAUACGGGGUGUUCUGGCUGUGCCGCAUGGUGUGGCUGGGAAAGAUUCCCUUUUGUGUUGUUUUGGUGGGUGUUGGGUUCGCGGACUAUCUGCUUGUUGGUGGGGUGAUGGCCUGCUAAGGCUGUGACGAGUAGCCGGCCUGAGAUGGUGGGCGGCCACACAGGUAAGGAAAGACCGCCAAGACUACGGCGGGAGGCAGCAGGGAGGAUUAGAGAACAAUGGGAGGAAGCCUGAUGCAGCGACGGCGCGUGAGGGAUGGAGGCCUGCGUGUUGUGAACCUCUUUCGCCGGUGAAGAAGGUCCUGCUCUUGGGGGGGGGGUUGACGGUAGCCGGGUGAAGAAGCGCCGGCUAACUACGUG